Long non-coding RNA from Oncorhynchus masou masou (cherry salmon), 5810 nucleotides. RefSeq lists it as uncharacterized. The transcript has 2 exons. The record is from RefSeq and is a predicted model, not a curated record. NCBI's taxonomy places the organism in Eukaryota, Metazoa, Chordata, Actinopteri, Salmoniformes, Salmonidae.
UUUAAGAGGUCUAGAAAAAUGAGCACCUCCCUCAAGCUAGUUUCCACCAUUUUAUACAUGACGCCAUUUAUGUUUACGUAGCUAGCGAGAAAGCAAGCUGUCAACUGCCGUUAUCUUGCAAAAUAUACUAGAUGAAGUAGGCCUGUCGGUAUAGUUAGCGAAACCAGAAGGAUUGCUCAUCCGUGGUGCCUAAUAUUUGUUUUGUGUCUGGUCUUUAGUAAGAUAAUGUUACUAACCUUGGGGGAAAACAUAUAACGAUUUCCGAUUCGAAAGCAAUUCAGACAAGACGAAACAAACACUCUCGCUAGCACGCAUCAUCGACAGCAGCUGAUCAACUAGUUAUUUGAGCAACACCAACAUGUCGGAAGGUCUUGAAACCUGCGAAGAUCCAGCUAUGGGGGAAAUUGAGCACGGACGGACAGGCUAGCAGCGAGGAGCAGAUACCAACGGCUGCAGAGAGCGGCCAGUCAGGAGAAUCCAAGGGAUCAAAGAUUGAUGCCAGCAAAAAACGAAGAGGAUGAGGGGUAAAUGUGUGUUGGUCUGGAACUGGGACACAACAAAGAAGGAUUUGAAGGAUUACUUCAAGUUUGGGGAGGUGGUAGACUGCACCCUGAAGCUUGACCCCAUGACAGGUUGGUCUCGGGGGUUUGACUUUGUCCUGUUCAAAGCAGCUGACAGUGUUGAUAAGAUAUUCCUGAUUGUAUUUGUUGUGAAUAUGACAUGGCAGCCAUGGGAUGUGAGUCUUUUCUGCCCAAUCAGUUUCUUUAUUAACUGAUUGUAUAUGUUGUGAAUAUGACAUGACAGCAAUGGGAUGUGAGUCUUUUCUGCCCAAUCAGUUUCUUUAUUAACUGAUUGUAUAUGUUGUGAAUAUGACAUGGCAGCAAUGGGAUGUGAGUCUUUUCUGCCCAAUCAGUUUCUUUAUUAACUGAUUGUAUAUGUUGUGAAUAUGACAUGGCAGCAAUGGGAUGUGAGUCUUUUCUGCCCAAUCAGUUUCUUUAUUAACUGAUUGUAUAUGUUGUGAAUAUGACAUGGCAGCAAUGGGAUGUGAGUCUUUUCUGCCCAAUCAGUUUCUUUAUUAUCAUUUUUCCACAAGCUGAAUGGGAAGGUGAUCGACCCUAAGAAGGUCAAGGCCAUGAAGAACAAGGAGCCAAACAGGAAAGUCUUUGUAGGAGGUCUUUCUCCAGACACCCCCGAGGAGAAGAUCAGGGAAUAAUUUGGUACCUUUGGAGAGGUAGGCUACAGUAGACUUAUAUUUGACAUGGUCAGAUGUUCUUUAGAGAGUGUGCUCGCCUGGGUGCCAAUCUGAACGAUUGAAUCAGAUCAGUCCAAAGCAAUUACCUGAAAGAGCUGAUAUUUACUCACGGCAUGUGUGUGCAAGUUGACCAAAACAUUCAAACCUUGUACAAUGGAUUAUUCUAUUCCUGAGUUUUCUGUGUGAACAGUUGGAGUCCAUUGAGCUCCCCAUAGAAACCAAAAGCAACAAGAGAUGGGGCUUCUGCUUCAUCACCUUUCAAAGAGGAGGAGCAAGUGAAGAAGAUCGUGGAGAGAAAGUACAACAGUAUAGGAUUUAGGAAGUUACUGUACAGUACAUCAUGGCUUCCCUUGAAGGUGUACCUGUGGAUGUAUUUAAAGGCCUACCUUCAAACUCAGUGCCUCUUUGCUUGACAUGAGGAAGAAAAACAAAUUCCGCCAAGACCUCAUAAAAAAAUUGUAGACCCCCACAAGUCUGGUUCAUCCAUGGGAGCAAUUUGCAAACACCUGAAGGUACCACUUUCAUCUGUACAAACAAUAGUACGCAAGUAUAAACACCAUGGGACCACGCAGCCGUCAUACCGCUCAGGAAGGAGACGCGUUCCGUCUCCUAGAGAUUAAUGUACUUUGGUGCGAAAAGUGCAAAUCAAUCCCAGAACAACAGCAAAGGACCUUGUGAAUAUGCUGGGGGAAACAGGCACAAAAGUAUCUAUAUCCACAGUAAAACAAGUCCUAUAUCGACAUAACCUGCUCAGCAAGGAAGAAGCCACUUCUCCAAAACCGCCAUGAAAAAGCCAGACUACGGUUUGCAACUGCACAUGGGGACAAAGAUCCUCUGGUCUGAUGAAACAAAAAUAGAACUGUUUGGCCAUAAUGACCAUCGUUAUGUUUGGAGGAAAAAGGGGGAGGCUUGCAGCAUCAUGUUGUGGGGUGCUUUCCUGCAGGAGGGACUGGUGCACUUCACAAAAUAGAUGGCAUCAUGAGGAUGGAACUUAUGUGAAUAUAUUGAAGCAACAUCUCAAGACAUCAGUCAGUAAGUUAAAGCUUGGUCGCAAAUGGGUCUUCCAAAUGGACAAUGACCCCAGGCAUACUUCCAAAGUUGUGGCAAAAUGGCUUAAGGACAACAAAGUCAAGGUAUUGAAGUGGCCAUCACAAAGCCCUGACCUCAAUCCUAUAGAGAAUUUGUGGGCAGAACUGAAAAUGCUUGUGUGAGCAAGGAGGCCAACAAACCUGACUCAGUUACACCAGCUCUGUCAGGAGGAAUGGGCCAAAAUUCACCCAACAUAUUGUGGGAAGCUUGUGGAAGGCCACUCAAAACAUUUGACCCAAGUUAAACAAUUUAAUGGUAAUGCUACCAAAUACUAAUUGAGUGUAUGUAAACUUCUGACCCACUGGGAAUGUGAUGAAAGAAAUAAAAGCUGAAAUAAGUCCUUCUCUCUACUAUUAUUCUGACAUUUCAAAUUCUUAAAAUAAAGUGGUGAUCCUAACUGACCUAAGACAGGGAAUUUUUACUAGGAUUAAAUGGCAGGAAUUGUAAAAAAAAACUGAGUUUAAAUGUAUUUGGCUAAGGUGUAUGUAAACUUCUGACUUCAACUGUAUGUAAAUGUCAUAUUUCAGUUUUGUAUUUUUUAUUAAUUUGUAAACAUUUCUAAAAAACAGUUAUUACUUUAUAAUUUUGUGGUAUUGUGUGUAGAUUGAUGAGGGGGAAAAAACUAUUUAAUACAUUUUAAGAAUAAGCCUCUAAUGUAACAACUUGUUACGAAUGCACUGUAUGUAUACAAGAUUCUAGAAUAUUCCAAAAUGCACCAGAAAAAAAACAACAACAUUUAUCUGGAAUUGAAUUUGAAAUAAUGUAUUUUUGUUUUUGUUUAUGAAGUAGUGUGAACGUUUUGGUACAUUAUGCUUUACCCUUGGAUAGUACACUCACCGGCAAUUUUAUUAGGUACACUACCCCAAAAAUUGAUAUAUAUAUAGCCGUAGCUUGCUAUAUAAAGCAGGCAGACAGGCAUCGAGGCAUUCAGUUACUGUUUGAUUGAACGAGUGACCUAAGCGACUUUGAGCGUGGUACAAUCAUCUGUGCCAGGUAUGCGAGAUCCAGUAUCUCAGAAAUGGCUGCCCACCUGGGCUUUUCACACAUGACAGUGUCUAGAGUUCACUGAGAGUGGAGCGACAAACAAAAAACAUCCAGUCAGCGGAGUUCCUGUGGGUGAAAACAGCUCGUUGAUGAGAGAGGAUGAAGGAAAAUGGCAAGAAUCGUGCAAACUAACAGGCGGGCCACAAACAAAUAAUGUCACAGUACAACAAUGGUGUGCAGAAUGUAAUCUCGGAACGCACAACUUGUCGAUCCUUGUCAUGGCUGGGUUAUUGCAGCAGAUGACCACGCGUUCACCAACGCUGGACAAUUGAGUGGAAAAACAUUGUCUGCUCCGACGAUUCUUGGUUCUUGUUGUGUCAUGCUGAUGGCAGAGUAAGGAUUUGGUGUAAGCAGCAUGAGUCCAUGGACCCAUCCUGCCUGGUGUCGAACGGUACAGGCUGGUGGCAUUGAUGUACUGGUGUAGGGAAUGUUUUUCUGGCACACGUUAGGUCCUUUGAUACCAAUUGAGCAACAAAUGUUUUUGAAACCUUGUAGAAUCAAUUUCCUGAAGAAUUCAAGCUGUUCUGGUGGCAAAGUGGGGUCCGGCCAGUUACUAGAUGGAUGUACCUAAUAAACUGGUCGGUGACUGUAACUCAUUGCUAGUGGAGUGUAACUACACGGUAAUGGAGUGAACUAUUAUGGCUGCCAGAGGUGGCCACCAUUUACAAAUAUAAAAAUCAUUCAGUUUAAGGAAUUCAAUACACCUUAAAACUGUAACGUUAGUUGUUAGAAAUGUUCUAAACUUUUUUCAGGACCCUGUCUUUCAAAGAUCAUUUGUAAAAAUCCAAAUAACUUGACAGAUCUUCAUUGUAAAGGGUUUAAACACUUUCCAAUGCUUGUUCAAUGAACCAUAAACAAUUAAUGAACAUGCACCUGUGGAACGGUCGUUAAGACACUAACAGCUUACAGACGGUAGGUAAUUAAGGUCACAGUUAUGAAAACUUAGGACACUAAAGAGGCCUUUCUACUGACUCUGAAAAACACUAAAAGAAAGAUGCCCAGGGUCCCUACUCAUCUGCGUGAACGUGCCUUAGGCAUGCUGCAAGGAGGCAUGAGGACUGCAGAUGUGGCCAAGGCAAUAAAUUGCAAUGUCCGUACUGUGAGACGCCUAAGACAGCACUACAGGGAGAAAGGACGGACAGCUGAUCGUCCUCGCAGUGGCAAGACCAUGUGUAACAACACCUGCACAGGAUCGGUACAACCGAACAUCACACCUGCAGGACAGGUACAGGAUGGCAACAGCAACUGCCCGAGUUACACCAGGAAUGCACAAUCCCUCCAUCAGUGCUCAGACUGUCCGCAAUAGGCUGAGAGAGGUUGGACUGAGGGCUUGUAAGCCUGUGUAAGGCCGGUCAUCACCAGAUAUCACCGGUAACAACGUCGCCUAUGGGCACAAACCCACCGUCGAUGGAGCAGACAGGACUGGCAAAAAGUGCUCUUCACUGACGAGUCGCGGUUUUGUCUCACCAGGGGUGAUGGUCGAAUUCGCGAAUAUCGUCGAAGGAAUGAGCGUUACACCAAGCCCUGUACUCUGGAACGGGAUCAAUUUGGAGUUGGAGGGUCCGUCAUGGUCUGGGGUGGUGUGUCACAGCAUCAUCGGACUGAGCUUGUUGUCAUUGCAGGCAAUCUCAACGCUGUGCGUUACAGGGAAGACAUCCUCCUCCCUCAUGUGGUACCCUUCCUGCAGGCUCAUCCUGACAUGACCCUCAAGCAUGACAAUGCCAACAGCCACACUGCUCGUUCUGUACGUGAUUUCCUGCAAGACAGGAAUGUCAGUGUUCUGCCAUGGUCAGCGAAGAGCCCAGAUCUCAAUCCCAUUGAGCAUGUCUGGGACCUGUUGUAUUGGAGUGUGAGGCGUAGGGCCAUUCCCCCCAGAAAUGUCCGGGAACUUGCAGGUGCCUUGGUGGAAGAGUGAGGUAACAUCUCACAGCAAGAACGGGCAAAUCUGGUGCAGUCCACGAGGAGGAGAUGCACUGCAGUACUUAAUGCAGCUGGUGGCCACACCAGAUACUGACUCCUACUUUUGAUUUUGACCAACCCUAUAUUCAGGGACACAUUAUUCCAUUUCUGUUAGUCACAUGUCUGUGGAACUUGUUCAGUUUAUGUCUCAGUUGUUGAAUCUUCUUAUGUUCAUACAAAUAUUCACACAUGUUAAGUUUGCUGAAAAUAAACUCAGUUGAGAUGCCGUUUCUUUUUUUGCUGAGUUUAUAUUGUGUAUUAAAAAAAAAAAUAGACAAACAAACAUUAUGAAAUGUAUCUUAUUAAAUAUCAAAUGAACAGAUCCAUAUAAUCCAAAAACAGCCAAACAAAUUCCAGGAAGCUUAUUUACAAAAGUCGUAAUGUGAAAUUAUAUUUUGUCACGUUACUAUGCACAAUCCACCUUGAAUCCGCCUUGGAGGAGACUAAAAUAAAAUUCAAAAAAUGA